Molecule: long non-coding RNA, 336 nt
Organism: Tupaia belangeri chinensis (Chinese tree shrew)
Lineage: Eukaryota; Metazoa; Chordata; Mammalia; Scandentia; Tupaiidae
Exons: 3
Source: RefSeq, a predicted model, not a curated record
GGGGACGCGGGCUGCGAUGCCCGAGUCCCACCUCGACCAGACCGUCCAAUCUCUUGCGCAACUCCGGAGAAAUGGAGGAACCCCUCCGGCCCUUCUUUCCCACGAGGUUUCCGGGAUGCUGGACCUCGAGCCCCAGGACUUCCCCUCUAAUACUCCGGCAGCGGUAGGGAGGGGGUGGCCACACGUGGUGACCCCCACCGGGUCCUGUGGGCUGCUGCUGUUGCAGGGGUCCAGGAGGGGAUGCCCUGAAACCGGCCGUCUGGGAGUUUGAAGUCGCCGACCUGAGGACGGAAGCCACAAGUGAGGAAACACAAAGUGCCCUAUAGCAAAAACCUC